RNAcentral lists this ribosomal RNA (383 nucleotides) under uncultured eukaryote. RNAcentral's name for it is "partial 18S ribosomal RNA". It matches the Rfam family "Eukaryotic small subunit ribosomal RNA", at positions 592 to 976 of the family's 1831-position model. The record is from RNAcentral.
CAAUAGCGUAUAUUAAAGUUGUUGCAGUUAAAAAGCUCGUAGUUGGAUUUCUGGUAGGAGUGACCGUUCCGAACUUGAUUGUUCGUGUAUUGUGUUUUCUCCAGCCAUCCUUGUGGAGAACUUUUCUUGCAUUAAUUUGUAGGGAUUGGGACCCGCAUCGUUUACUGUGAAAAAAUUAGAGUGUUUAAAGCAGGCAAUCGCUUGAAUACAUUAGCAUGGAAUAAUAAGAUAGGACUUUGGUACUAUUUUGUUGGUUUGCAUACCAAAUUAAUGAUCAACAGGAACAGUUUGAGGAUAUUCGUAUGAACAUGUCAGAGGUGAAAUUCUUGGAUUUUGAUCAGACGAACUACUGCGAAAGCAUCUAUCAAGGAUGUUUUCAUUAA